AGUGAACGCUGGCGGUAGGCCUAACACAUGCAAGUCGAACGGCAGCACAGUAAGAGCUUGCUCUUACGGGUGGCGAGUGGCGGACGGGUGAGGAAUACAUCGGAAUCUACUUUUUCGUGGGGGAUAACGUAGGGAAACUUACGCUAAUACCGCAUACGACCUACGGGUGAAAGCAGGGGAUCUUCGGACCUUGCGCGAUUGAAUGAGCCGAUGUCGGAUUAGCUAGUUGGCGGGGUAAAGGCCCACCAAGGCGACGAUCCGUAGCUGGUCUGAGAGGAUGAACCCGCCCACCGGGACGUGGAAACCGGCCCGACCCCCACGGGGGGGCCGCGGGGGGAAAUUUUGGAAAGUGGGGCCAAGCCUGACCCAGCCCACCCGGUGGGGGAAAGAAGGCCUUCGGGUUGUAAACCCCUUUUUUUGGGAAAAAAAAGCGGCGGGUUAAUACCCCGCUGUUUUGCCGGUACCCAAAAAAAAACCCCCGGCAACCUUCGU
This 492-nucleotide ribosomal RNA is filed under the name uncultured bacterium. RNAcentral describes it as "partial 16S ribosomal RNA". It matches the Rfam family "Bacterial small subunit ribosomal RNA", at positions 29 to 506 of the family's 1533-position model. The record is from RNAcentral.